UACGAAGGUGGCAAGCGUUGUUCGGAUUUACUGGGCGUACAGGGAGCGUAGGCGGUUGGGUAAGCCCUCCGUGAAAUCUUCGGGCCUAACCCGGAAAGUGCGGAGGGGACUGCUCGGCUAGAGGAUGGGAGAGGAGCGCGGAAUUCCCGGUGUAGCGGUGAAAUGCGUAGAGAUCGGGAGGAAGGCCGGUGGCGAAGGCGGCGCUCUGGAACAUUUCUGACGCUGAGGCUCGAAAGCGUGGGGAGCAAACAGG
RNAcentral lists this ribosomal RNA (253 nucleotides) under uncultured bacterium. RNAcentral's name for it is "partial 16S ribosomal RNA". It matches the Rfam family "Bacterial small subunit ribosomal RNA", at positions 524 to 776 of the family's 1533-position model. The record is from RNAcentral.